CUUGGCUCUAUGAAUGAGUAAAUGGUCAAAAAAGGUAGUAAUAAAGAUCUUAAUUAAAAUGAUUCACUAGGAAUUACUUUGGAGGAAAACUCUACAGAGAUUAGUAUGUUGCUGAUUGCAUAUGAUAGGAAAAUCUAUGGUAGCACAGAAUCUGUUAUCCAGUAUUUAUUUUUAUUUUUUUCCUUUUCUAGGUCAUAACCCUGGACAAAAUGCCAACAGAUUCUUCCCUCCUACCAAACUACUAUUUCCCUUUGUUGCUGGCUUUCUCUUAAGGUUCACAGAUGGUUCAGGUGGAUAUAAUGGAAACAAGCUGCUUAAACCAAUUCACAGAGAGAUUUGAAUGACUGAUCUUUCACAGCCUGCCCUACCCCAGAUGUUAAGAAGCUGUUUCCUCCUCAACUAGAUCAGCAGUGAAAUAUUGAGAUGAAAUAUCCAAGAGAAGAAGGGGGCUUUCACAGGGAAAGAGAUUUAAGGAUUAAUAGAAGAAAUUAAACUGAAUUUUGUCCUCCAUCUGAUUCCCAACUAUGGUUCAUUCUGGUCUCACAAAUUCCUCAACAUACCAAGGUAAAUAACAAUGGUUCUCACACAGCAAUCCAAAUGAGGGUGAAAAUGCAUGCCCACGUGUAUGUGUGUGUGUGUGUGUGUGUGUGUUUAUAAUGGAAAUGAGUUUGAUGAUAGGGACAACAGGGAUGAAUUCUUGUAGAUUGAGGCCUACCCACCAUUGAUGCCUGAUGGUUGUUUAAAUUAAAUUUUAUUCUAGCUUUUACAUGGAAGGUCUAAAAUGUGAAAUGGACAUUUUCCUCUGGUUGGCUAAUUACAGCAUGUGCCAGUAAGAGCCUGGGGGCACAGGGCAACAUCAGGAUGACUGUAUUGGUUAAUCUUUCCUGACCACCCUACAAUAUAGUGCCUUAAAACAACAACAAUCCUUCAUUUUCUGAUGAUUCUGUGAGUCAGCAAUUUGGGAUGAGCUCUGGUUUAUAUAUACUGAUUUUGCCCAGACUCACAUUUGAGGCAGUGAUUUAAAUAGGGGCUUCCUGGUAUAAGGAGGCCUUGCUUAACAUGUUUUGCACUAUAUGGUCUUUCAGCUGGGUACUUCAGUUCUCCUCCGCAUGACCUCUCCAUCAGGCUAGCUUAGACUCAUUCACAUGACAACAGCAAUUCUAAGAAGGCAAAAGUGGUAGCUUCAAAGCUGCCCAUGGCCAAGGCUUGGAAUGCACAUAAUGUGACUUUCUCACUCCCAUCACAUUCUGUUUACCAAAGCAAGUUACAAAGCUGCUAGAAUCUCAGAAUGGAGAAAUAGCCCCACUUCUCCAUGAGGCCUGCUGCAAAGAGCCGCUUUCUAACUGCCAUAAAGACUUAGAAAUAGCACAAAAGGUUUUAAGUGACUUUCUAUUUGAAGUGUUUUGUUCCCCUCCCUUCUCCUUACUCCAAUGAGAUUUUUUUUAUUUGCAGAAAAAUCACAGUGGGAGAGUUCAUGUUCCAAUUAUAAAGUAGGCCCAUGAGAACUGAGAUCUUAGGUUGCUGAUUAUUCCAUUUUAGGAAAAGUGAACCAAGCUAGACUUUAUGAUAGUUUUUAGAAUAUUUCAUGAUAUGUGAUCUGUCUUUUCCAAUAAAUGGUCUCUAGUGGCACUCUUUAGAAGAACUAUAAUCACCAGGAAAUUCAUUAUAUAUCUUCUAAAGUUUUUAUUUUAAAUUGUUUGAGCAGAUGUGCUAAGAUAUUUGCUUUACACAGUUUCCAAAUAUUGACUUUUUUAAAGGAUGUGUUUAUCUUGCAUCCCUUGGGACACAGAUUUAUGUUUCCUACCAUUUCCUAAUAAGGCCUCAAAAGCUAUUUUUUUUCUGGUUGAACAUCUUAUUUCCAUUUUUUAGGCUAACAGGAAAAAAUGUUUAUGGGACUAUUUUAUUGGUGUUCGUAAUGAGAACAUUUAUAAGAGCCAUUGAUUUCUUGUGGUAAGCUUCUGGUCAUGGUGCUGAAGGAAUGUAACAGCUAUACUUAUGUUCUGAGAAGUUGACCGAGGUGCCUCGAGAUCUAGCUCCGCAAGUCACAUAACGUGGCCAUGCCUGUAAAAAAAGAUCUUCAGAGACUCAAUG
RNAcentral lists this long non-coding RNA (2091 nucleotides) under Canis lupus familiaris (dog). RNAcentral describes it as "lncRNA (ENSCAFG00030017208.1)". The record is from RNAcentral. Lineage: Eukaryota; Metazoa; Chordata; Mammalia; Carnivora; Canidae.